Molecule: ribosomal RNA, 254 nt
Filed under: uncultured bacterium
Lineage: Bacteria
Description: partial 16S ribosomal RNA
Rfam family: Bacterial small subunit ribosomal RNA
Source: RNAcentral
UACGGAGGGUGCAAGCGUUAUCCGGAUUCACUGGGUUUAAAGGGUGCGUAGGUGGUUUUGUAAGUCAGUGGUGAAAGCCCGGAGCUCAACUCCGGAACUGCCAUUGAUACUGCUUAACUUGAAUCAAGUAGAGGUGGAUGGAAUAUUACAUGUAGCGGUGAAAUGCUUAGAUAUGUAAUAGAACACCGAUUGCGAAGGCAGUUCACUAUGCUUGUAUUGACACUGAGGCACGAAAGCGUGGGGGAUCAAACAGG